CGAGCAUAUUCAUUUGCAUCGCUGUGUUUCACAGCAGUAAAAAUUUACGAGUGCCUGGAAAGGUUAAAUUAUACUAUUGUGUUUAGUUUGGGAACUCACUGUAAAUAAUACUGUGCCGUUGAGUUCAGAGCUAACUGGGGCUGGCAGGGAAAAGUCAAAUCCAACACGAUUCCCCUUUCGAAAAGGGAAUCUGCCCACCGCCGAACAGAGCAGGAGGAUAACUGGGGCUGGGGGCGAGAGAUCUCAAAUCGAUAUCGAAAUUUGCAUCUUUAUCCGCGCCUCUGAUCUAAGAGUCCUCGGACCCACAGCCAGGAAUCCCUCACUGUGGAAUCGGACCCACAACUAGGAAUCCCAAACACCCACCUCCUGGCUCCUCAGUAAUCUCUUUCUCUUCUCUCUCUCCCUCCCCUCACCCCCUGCGCAGCCCCCGAAAUAAUUCCAGCAGCAGAAUAAGGCAAGGAACCGCAGACACAUUUAAAUUCUGCCACAAAUACUAGCUUAACCUGCAGGUGUGGGAGACAAUUGCCCUUCUUGCUGUUUUUCUUUUAAAUAAUAUUGUGACAUUUUAUCAAGAAGUUGUUUGAUGCCCCGUUCUUUGACAACUAGAUAACCUUUAUAUUUUUUAUUUUUAUUUUGGUAAAAGGAAGAGACCAAGUCAAGAGGAGGAAUGCAGAAGAGAACUUUUAUGCGGGAGAAAAACUGAGCGGACACAUCCCCCUCGAUCAAGUUGACUG
Molecule: non-coding RNA, 734 nt
Organism: Podarcis lilfordi (Lilford's wall lizard)
Lineage: Eukaryota; Metazoa; Chordata; Lepidosauria; Squamata; Lacertidae
Source: the annotation of a GenBank genome assembly